CGCUCGUAGUCGGGUUUCGGGUCGGGCCGAGCGGUCUGCCGAUGGGUAUGCACUGUUUGGCGCGGCCUUCUUUCCGGAGACCGCGGCUACUCUUAACUGAGCGGGCGUGGGAGACGGAUCGUUUACUUUGAAAAAAUCAGAGUGUUUCAAGCAGGCAGCUCGCUCUUGCAUGGUACAGCAUGGGAUGAUUGAAUAGGACUCCGGUGCUAUUUUGUUGGUUUCGAACACCAGGAGUAAUGAUUAACAGGGACAGUCAGGGGCACUCGUAUUCCGUCGAGAGAGGUGAAAUUCUCAGACCAAUGGAAGACGAACCACUGCGAAAGCAUUUGCCAGGGAUGUUUUCACUGAUCAAGAACGAAAGUUAGGGGAUCGAAGACGAUCAGAUACCGUCGUAGUCUUAACCAUAAACCAUGCCGACUAGGGAUUGGAGGGUGUUCGUUUCGACCUCUUCAGCACCUUACGGGAAACUAAAGUCUUUGGGUUCUGGGGGGAGUAUGGUCGCAAGGCUGAAACUUAAAGGAAUUGACGGAAGGGCACUACCAGGAGUGGAGCUUGCGGCUUAAUUUGAUUCAACACGGGGAAACUUACCAGGUCCAGACAUUGUUAGGAUUGACAGAUUGAGAGCUCUUUCUUGAUUCGAUGGGUGGUGGUGCAUGGCCGUUCUUAGUUGGUGGAGUGAUUUGUCUGGUUAAUUCCCAUAACGAACGAGACCGUAGCCUGCUAAAUAGUCCCCGCGAACUUCUUGUUGGCGGCCGACUUCUUAGAGGGACAACUUGUGACC
Molecule: ribosomal RNA, 781 nt
Rfam family: Eukaryotic small subunit ribosomal RNA